This 2528-nucleotide long non-coding RNA is filed under the name Rattus norvegicus (Norway rat). RNAcentral describes it as "long non-coding RNA NONRATT005735". Lineage: Eukaryota; Metazoa; Chordata; Mammalia; Rodentia; Muridae. The record is from RNAcentral.
CUUAUACAUACUCGGUCAUCCAAACUAGGUAAUUUUUUUCCUGUUGAUUAUCUUUUAUGUAUGAAGGUGUUCUGUUCUGUUCUUUUCUUUCUUUCUUUUUUUUUUUUUUUUUUUUUUUGGAAGCCAAGACUAUACUAAGUAUAGAAACUACACUUGUUUCUGCACUUCCUUUCUCCUCUUUCCUAAGUGAUUCUAAGCAGGGUAAUUAGCAGACAGAGUGUUGAGACUUGUUUCCACAAAGUAAUUUUCAUAGCUCUUUUCAUUAUUAGCUCCAUAGCAAAAUGGAAUGGUACGUGACUUAGGGUAGGUGAUAUUUUUAUUUUGUUAAAUAAUUUUCCAAGAAACAGAAUAUGCUGUAUAUUAUCAUAAAUUUCUUUGAUAAAAUGUAUUUUUUAAAUCUUUUAAUCUUACUCCUCUCCUCCAAAUAAAAUCAGGAAUCUCUAGCAAAAGAUUUGGAUUCUAUCUGAUAGGAUUACAUUUAGUCACUGUGAAGUCUGGUCAGCCCGUGUGUUGUGGAUACAGGACCUCUAGGAUUGCUGCUGUGCAGAAUGGCUGGACCAGUGUGACUCAGGCCCUUCCAUGGGAUGCACACCCGGCUGCUUCAUGGUACCUGCAGUAUGCAAGACAGUUUGACUUUGGUGAGCACGUAGUGCAUGGAUGCUCUCAUUUAAGAUUGAACUAUAUUUAUUUUUAAAAGGUAUUACCCCUCUUCUCCCAGGUUCCCUUCAUAUAUUAAGACAUAAUGGCUUUGGAGGGACCAAAAGAAACCCAGUGGGGUGCGGACGGGCCCUGUGGGUUUCAGUGAGUUAAACUCCACAACUAAGUCACUAGAUAAUGGUACAUUUAAGUAUUCUGACUUUAAUAAUAUAACACAUUUCACACUUAUCCAUACAGUAACAAUGUAAUAUGGUAAUGUAAAUAAAAUUGCUUUUGAUAUUCAGAAAUAACAAUUUAAUUUUUUUAAUUUGUUUACAGUCCUGGGAAAAGUUUGCCAAAAUAAAGGAAAAACCUUUAGUAUUAGUGAUUUUAACAUAGAAUCAUUGGAGGAUAUUGAAGACUGAUGCAGCAAACUGAGCUCUUAUUUUUAACCAUUGUAAAGGCUACAUUAGAGUAAGGUGUCAGAGCAGACAGCCAAGGCUGUGAGGCUGAGAUUGCAGCUGAUGUAGACGUGGCAGGAGGCCCUGUGGCAAAGCUGCCAGGGUCUGGCUUCCCCACAGCAGUGCUGGGGCAGCGGGGGCAGCACAGUGUGAGGGAGACUUCUGUAGCUCUGCCUGCCUGGCUUUUUUUUCCCUCCCUUUUUGGAGACCUUGUGCAUCUAAUGGUGGACAUUACUGCCCGUUGCUUCCCCCAUAAAACAGGACAACUUGUAAAUGUAGCGUUCUUCCCAUAGCGGGUUUCCCAUAGUUCUUAAACUCCCCAUUUGGGCUCCCCUUGGAAAGGUCGAAUGGAGCCACUUUUGAAUGUGAAAACACUUCUGACCAGUACAUCCCAGGAAACUCGUGAAGAGUUCCAGUUUUAUCUAAUACACAGAACUUCCAACUUUUGAAGAAAGGCUAACUUUGCAAGCAACUGAACGUACGGAACUUAAGUGUCACCAGCUACCCCUCCCCCAAAGGAGACUAAUUACAGGAGCAGCUGAAGGUCCAGUUGAGGCCCCUUUUACACAAUCUGGUGUGAGUUCUGUGAUUCAUUUUCAAUCUGUGUUUCCUUGACUUAGAAGAAGAGAAACAGUACUGCUGUGCUUAUGUCUGCUUGGCUGGUACCCCACCACCACACCCCUCUGGGCUCCUGUGCCCUCCACUGUGGGGAGCAUAGAGCCCAGACAGUGCGGACUGCCACUGUCCCAGUGCAGGGUAUGCACCAGCAGCCCACUCCUCGGGGGCUCGGGGUUGUGAGUUUCCUGUGGGAGAUCUGGCUUCUGAUUCCCAGGAGUGGGGGGUUUGUGUUUUUCUUUUAUUUUUUUCUACAUUUACCCCCAAGCAUAUUGAAGCAUGUCUCAUUCAAUGUUAUGCAAUGGACGCAUACGGAAAUCCACUUAGUGUCAGCCGCACCGUUUUUUAGUGUGGUGUAUUCACCUGUAAAUAGUUUGUGUAAAAUUUGACAGAAAAGUCUAUUUACUACAUUGUAAAUACAUGUGAUGAUAUAUUGUAUUAUUUUGCUUUUUUGUAAAGCGGUUAGUUGCUGUACAUGGAUAACAAACAAAAAUUUGAUUAUUCUUGUGCUCCUAUUGUUAACUUCUUCCUGCGACUGCGUUACAUCAUUUAAAGGAAAAGCUGUGUAUUGUGAACUGACCUUGUAUAUGGUUAACUUACCCCUCCCAGCCAGCAGUUCCCUGCCUGCAGCCAUGUUGAUACUGUACCCAGCAGGAGAGAUCCUGCCUGACACACAGACUCCAUUGCUGUGGGGAAAUGCCCAGACCUCUGUCUGAGAGAGCGUUACCCUCACUUGCUCCUGUCCUGUGUACACCCUCCUACCCACCUCCCCCCCCCCUUUUUUUUAAGUAAAAUGUAAAUUCCAUCUGCUCUAAA